GACGAACCGUGCGAACGUUGCUCGGAAUCACUGGGCGUAAAGGGCGCGUAGGCGGCGCGACAAGUCAGGCGUGAAAGCCCCGGGCUCAACCCGGGAAUUGCGCUUGAUACUGUCGUGCUUGAGGCCGGGAGAGGAUGGCGGAAUUCCCAGUGUAGAGGUGAAAUUCGUAGAUAUUAGGAAGAACACCGGUGGCGAAGGCGGCCAUCUGGCUCGGUACUGACGCUCAGGCGCGAAAGCGUGGGGAGCAAACAGG
RNAcentral lists this ribosomal RNA (253 nucleotides) under uncultured bacterium. RNAcentral's name for it is "partial 16S ribosomal RNA". It matches the Rfam family "Bacterial small subunit ribosomal RNA", at positions 524 to 776 of the family's 1533-position model. The record is from RNAcentral.